RNAcentral lists this transfer RNA (84 nucleotides) under Burkholderia oklahomensis. Its description in RNAcentral is "tRNA-Ser(cga)". Lineage: Bacteria; Pseudomonadati; Pseudomonadota; Betaproteobacteria; Burkholderiales; Burkholderiaceae. The record is from RNAcentral.
UGCGACGGGGCCCGGAUUCGCGAGGCCCGUCGUCUCGAUCACGACGCGGUCGAAAUCGAACGUGCCGUCGCGCUUCUUCGCGGC